GUGGAGGUAUGUGACUGUAGGUGGAGGUAAAGAGGUAUGUGACUGUAGGUGGAGGUAUGUGACUGUAGGUGGAGGUAUGUGACUGUAGGUGGAGGUAAGGAGGUAUGGGUCUGUAGGUGGAGGUAAAGAGGUCUGGGACUGUAGAUGGAGGUAAAGAGGUAUGUGACUGUAGGUUGAGGUAUGGGACUGUAGAUGGAGGUGUAGAGGUAUGGGACUGUAGGUGGAGGUAAAGAGGUAUGUUACUGUAGGUGGAGGUAUAGAGGUAUGUGACUGUAGGUUGAGAUAUGGGACUGUAGGUGGAGGUAUGUGACUGUAGGUGGAGGUAUAGAGGUAUGUGACUGUAGGUGGAGGUAAAGAGGUAUGUGACUGUAGGUGGAGGUAUGGGACUGUAGGUGGAGGUAAAGAGGUAUGUGACUGUAGGUGGAGGUAUAGAGGUAUGUGACUGUAGGUGGAGGUAAAGAGGUAUGUGACUGUAGGUGGAGGUAAAGAGGUAUGGGACUGUAGGUGGAGGUAUAGAGGUAUGGGACUGUAGGUGGAGGUAAAGAGGUAUGGGACUGUAGGUGGAGGUAAAGAGGUAUGUGACUGUAGGUGGA
This is a long non-coding RNA of Oncorhynchus tshawytscha (Chinook salmon), 593 nucleotides long. The record is from Ensembl. NCBI's taxonomy places the organism in Eukaryota, Metazoa, Chordata, Actinopteri, Salmoniformes, Salmonidae.